RNAcentral lists this small RNA (762 nucleotides) under Pongo abelii (Sumatran orangutan). RNAcentral describes it as "retained intron". Lineage: Eukaryota; Metazoa; Chordata; Mammalia; Primates; Hominidae. The record is from RNAcentral.
GUUAAGGGAAGGAUUCACUCCUGUCCAUCACUGCUUGAGUGCUGCUGGAGUGUGGAAUGGAGUUCUAAUUCCCUGGCAUUUCUCACCUGCCCAUGAAGGCCUCGGCAAAUAGAAAACCAGCAGGCCAAUAGAUGCAGGUGCUGGUAGUUGCAAGUCAGGUUAAAGCAAUGGUACCAAGGGGAGGGGAUGGGGCAGAGACAGCGUCUCUUACCCCGGAUGAAGGACGGCUUCCCUGCUGUUAUGUGUUUGGGACCUGGGACGCUUUCAGAUGCCCUUGAGGAUCUUUAUUGAGUAUGUAUCUAUCUGUCUGUUCCCUUAUGUCUGUAGAUUGUCCCCAGCUACGGAAAACAAGCUCCGGCUGCAUUACCGUAGGGCCCUCAGGAACAAUACAGAUCCCUACAAGCGGGCCGUGUACUGUAUCAUUGGCAGAUGUGACGUCACCGACAACCAGAGUGAAGUGGCGGACAAAACUGAGGAUUACCUGUGGCUGAAGUUGAACCAAGUGUGUUUUGACGACGAUGGCACCAGCUCCCCACAAGACAGGCUCACUCUCUCACAGUUCCAGAAACAGUUGCUGGAAGACUAUGGCGAGUCCCACUUUACGGUGAACCAGCAACCCUUCCUUUACUUCCAAGUCCUGUUCCUGACAGCGCAGUUUGAAGCAGCAAUUGCCUUUCUUUUCCGCAUGGAGCGGCUGCGCUGCCACGCUGUCCAUGUAGCACUGGUGCUGUUUGAGCUGAAGCUGCUUUUAAAGUCCUCUGG